AUUGAACGCUGGCGGCAGGCCUAACACAUGCAAGUCGAGCGGAUGAAGGGAGCUUGCUCCUGGAUUCAGCGGCGGACGGGUGAGUAAUGCCUAGGAAUCUGCCUGGUAGUGGGGGAUAACGUCCGGAAACGGGCGCUAAUACCGCAUACGUCCUGAGGGAGAAAGUGGGGGAUCUUCGGACCUCACGCUAUCAGAUGAGCCUAGGUCGGAUCAGCUAGUUGGUGGGGUAAAGGCCUACCAAGGCGACGAUCCGUAACUGGUCUGAGAGGAUGAUCAGUCACACUGGAACUGAGACACGGUCCAGACUCCUACGGGAGGCAGCAGUGGGGAAUAUUGGACAAAGGGCGAAAGCCUGAUCCAGCCAUGCCGCGUGUGUGAAGAAGGUCUUCGGAUUGUAAAGCACUUUAAGUUGGGAGGAAGGGCAGUAAGUUAAUACCUUGCUGUUUUGACGUUACCAACAGAAUAAGCACCGGCUAACUUCGUG
This 484-nucleotide ribosomal RNA is filed under the name uncultured bacterium. Its description in RNAcentral is "partial 16S ribosomal RNA". It matches the Rfam family "Bacterial small subunit ribosomal RNA", at positions 30 to 507 of the family's 1533-position model. The record is from RNAcentral.